AAAUCACAACUCUCUUUCUCUUUUCUUUGUGCUUACGGCCGAGAGCCAAAUCACAACCACCCACCCACUUUCAAAUCCCAUAUUAAUAAACCACAUACACUCAAGUGUGUAAGGUCGCAUACAAGGAAGCCUGGUGCUUGCGGAUUGCCAAGGACCUCUCUACGACGCUAUUAACCACCCAUUUUUCGUCUAGUUUCUUCCCUAGCCUCGAGCUAGUAACCAAAACUAAAAGUCUACUAAAAAUAAUAAAAAUGGUGGUUACGACGUUAAUUAAGCAAACCCGGUGAAGUUUACGACGCACAGGAACGCAAAGUUGUAACUAGGAUGGAUGUGCGCGUGGUCUCACUUAUGCUCGUGGAUGUCGCUUGUGUUUGUCUUUAAAUAAAGUGUAAACCUUUUAAGACAAUGUUUUAUGUUAACUCGCGAUGUAAACGCUAACUUAUGAUUUCAAAUUAUGGUAUUUGAAGUUAUU
RNAcentral lists this long non-coding RNA (472 nucleotides) under Helianthus annuus (common sunflower). The record is from RNAcentral. Lineage: Eukaryota; Viridiplantae; Streptophyta; Magnoliopsida; Asterales; Asteraceae.